ACGUAGGCAGCAAACGUUGUUCGGAAUUACUGGGCGUAAAGAGUGUGUAGGCGGUUCUGCAAGUUUGGUGUGAAAUCUCCCGGCUUAACUGGGAGGGUGCGCCGAAAACUGCAAGGCUAGAGUACUGGAGAGGAAAGCGGAAUUCCUGGUGUAGCGGUGAAAUGCGUAGAUAUCAGGAGGAACACCGGUGGUGUAGACGGCUUUCUGGACAGUAACUGACGCUGAGACACGAAAGCGUGGGGAGCAAACAGGAUUAGAUACCCUGGUAGUCCACGCCCUAAACGAUGCAUACUUGGUGUGGGUCAUUCACUUGAUCUGUGCCGGAGCUAACGCGUUAAGUAUGCCGCCUGGGGAGUACGGUCGCAAGGCUG
RNAcentral lists this ribosomal RNA (371 nucleotides) under uncultured bacterium. RNAcentral's name for it is "bacterial SSU rRNA". It matches the Rfam family "Bacterial small subunit ribosomal RNA", at positions 525 to 896 of the family's 1533-position model. The record is from RNAcentral.